AGUUUACUAUAUCCUCCAUAGAAUAUCUCCAUAGAAGUAAAAUGGCAGCAAAUAAAUUACUGUCUAUUGUUUUUGCUGCGUGUCUUCUGGCAAAUAUCUUUGCAAAGCCAGCUGCAGAGGAUGACAACGACGGUUCCCAAAUUUCAACAAUUCCAUCGUCAUGUGAUACGAUUAUUCCAGCUCCCCUUAAUCGCUUUGUCAGUCAAGUGGUCAGCCCCGUUAUCUACAGCGUUGGAUUGCCAGCAUUUGUACUUCAAAUUCUCGAACGGGUAUUAAUUUGUCCCGAAGACAGGCAAAUCACAAGUCCACCUGAAAUUACUGAUAAUUCUAGCAAUUCGUCAUAAAUUGCGAGUAUAAUGUAAGUGUUGGUUUUGUGUUAUCUUAUUGUAUUGUGUUGGAUCUACAUUUGUAAUCAUUUUAUCCUCAAUAUAUUAUAAAAUAUAUGUAAUACUAGGUUUUGCCCGUUACUUAGAGCCGGUAGUGUUUAAUAAAAAUGUAAUUUGUUUUUA
This is a long non-coding RNA of Dalotia coriaria, 509 nucleotides long. RefSeq lists it as uncharacterized. The record is from RefSeq and is a predicted model, not a curated record. The transcript has 2 exons. NCBI's taxonomy places the organism in Eukaryota, Metazoa, Arthropoda, Insecta, Coleoptera, Staphylinidae.